This 252-nucleotide ribosomal RNA is filed under the name uncultured Erysipelotrichaceae bacterium. Its description in RNAcentral is "partial 16S ribosomal RNA". It matches the Rfam family "Bacterial small subunit ribosomal RNA", at positions 524 to 776 of the family's 1533-position model. The record is from RNAcentral. Lineage: Bacteria; Bacillati; Bacillota; Erysipelotrichia; Erysipelotrichales; Erysipelotrichaceae.
UACGUAGGUGGCAAGCGUUGUCCGGAUUUAUUGGGCGUAAAGGGUGCGCAGGCGGCAAGAAAAGCUUAAGGUGAAAGCGUGGGGCUCAACCCCAUAAAGCCUUAGGAACUAGCUUGCUAGAGUGCAGGAGAGGGCGAUGGAAUUCCAUGUGUAGCGGUGAAAUGCGUAGAGAUAUGGAGGAACACCAGUGGCGAAGGCGGCUUCCUGGUCUGCAACUGACACUGAGGCGCGAAAGCGUGGGGAGCAAACAGG